Non-coding RNA from Danio rerio (zebrafish), 1419 nucleotides. Lineage: Eukaryota; Metazoa; Chordata; Actinopteri; Cypriniformes; Danionidae. The record is from RefSeq and is a predicted model, not a curated record.
UUUAUUAAUCAUAGUUCAAUAUUUACUAAUACAUUAUUAAAAUCCAAACUUAUACUUGAGUUAAUGCACACAAACUGACAACGAACAACUCUAUCUCCCUUAACUAACCUCAACUAACAUGAAUAAACAGUGUGAUGAAUACCUUGUUCGCUCGUGUUAGUGAAUACAUCAACUAUUAACUAAUAUUAACCAAUACAGCCCUAUUGUAAAGUGUUAUUAAGGCGCAUUACGCAUGCACUGCACGCCUCUUUAACAAACCAGAGAAUCAAUCACAAUUAUCUAUAUCACAACUAAUAACCAUCAACCAAUGUUUGGCGAUCGUGACAACCUGUGCUCGUGAUCGUUACCUGCGAUGUGUCCAUGAUGGAGUUAUAUCAGCAUAGAUAAUAUUCAUCGAAAUAUCCCACCGUAUCUUCUUCCCAGUAGCAUCCAAACAAGUUACACUAUUUCAUGCUAGGACACGUGAAUAAAAUGAUAAUCCCCGUCGCUUUAGGACGCAAUCACCAUCAUCAUCAUCAUCAUCUAGAUAGAUCAACCAGCUAAGCAGUCUAGUAUUAAAGAAGCCCGUGUAACAGGAUCGGUUGCACAACAGGAUCCAGCUGGUAGCAUUAAUAGGAGUAAGGUUAUAUAUGCGCUGAAGAGAUCAAAAAAGGCAUUUAAACAUUAAAUGUUUGUGUGUUUCAAAUCACGAAGCAUGUGAAUGUUAAAGACAGAGUAUCCACUGGCCGAAGGGUUUGUUUUCACUGCCCAUGGCCAUGACGGACUCGCCGAAUACAGACGCGUAAAACACCUGACAUCGACACUUUUAAGAUUAGCAACCGUCUCUAAUCUCAUAUCCAACCACUGGUGCCUUUAGAGAAGCACAACACAGCUCUUAAUACACGAUUUUGCUUUAAUACAGCACUGCUGGGUGUGUUUAUCAGUUCAUCUGAACGGUGACCGAUCGCGUAUUUCAACAUUAUAUGAAAAUACAUUUCAUAGUACAUGCUGCAAAAUAGACCAGAAUUAGGAAGGCUAACACUCUUGCUAACGGCGGCUAAAAUAUCCUCGCUCGCGCCGUCAGGAGCGAUCUCCGAUCCCGCGUCCUCUCGCCGCUAUCUCUGGGCGAGGAGUUAAAGUGUUACCGCAGAUGGCAGGUGUGGAUAUCCGCUGUUCCAGAUUUCAGAUAAAAGUUAUCUCCAUCCUCUCCCGUUCAGCGCCAUCUUUCCCGCGGGGCACGCCGGGUAAUCCUCAGGAAUCCCGACGCGACGCGUUCGCUGCUCGUCCCGGAGUGCAGGAAUGCUGGGAUCAUCAGGAGGAAAGAGCGAUGAUGAUGAUGACACUUAUUUUUAACUGAGGAAACCUCGGGUCUACAUGAUGAGAAGUUAAUACUAGCAGGAAGUGACACAUAUUCAUAUCCACAAACGUAUUGUUAUGGUG